This 49-nucleotide transfer RNA is filed under the name Bacopa eisenii. Its description in RNAcentral is "partial tRNA-Leu". RNAcentral also lists the same sequence under 1 other name. Lineage: Eukaryota; Viridiplantae; Streptophyta; Magnoliopsida; Lamiales; Plantaginaceae. The record is from RNAcentral.
UCCGUCGACUUUAAAAAUCGUGAGGGUUCAAGUCCCUCUAUCCCCAAGA